UGGCGGCGUGCUAAUAAUGCAGUCGAACGAGGAGCCUUAGUUCUUGUAUUCGUACUCGAACUUCGGAUUUCCUAGUGGCGAACGGGUGAGUAACGCGUUGGUGACCUGCCUCGAAGUGCGGAAUAACUCCGGGAAACUGGAGCUAAUACCUCAUGUGGACAGUGGAUUUAGAAACCACUGUCUAAAGGUCUUCGGAUCGCUUCGAGAGGGGCCUGCGUCCCAUCAGCUAGUUGGUAGGGUAAUGGCCUACCAAGGCGACGACGGGUAGGGGACCUGAGAGGGUGAUCCCCCACAAUGGAACUGAAACACGGUCCAUACAUCUACGGAUGGCAGCAGUAGGGAAUAUUGCGCAAUGGGCGAAAGUCUGAUGCAGCAACGCCGCGUGUGCGAUGAAGGCCUUCGGGUUGUAAAGCACUUUUCUGAGGGAAGAGGAAGGACGGUACCUCAGGAAUAAGUCUCGGCUAACUACGUGCCAGCAGCCGCGGUAACACGUAGGAGGCAAGCGUUAUCCGGAUUUACUGGGCGUAAAGCGCGUGCAGGCGGUUUGGUAAGUUGGAUGUGAAAGCUCCUGGCUUAACUGGGAGAGGUCGUUCAAUACUGCCAAACUAGAGGACGGUANAGGAAGGUAGAAUUCCUGGUGUAGUGGUGAAACGCGUAGAUAUCAGGAGGAAUACCAGUGGCGAAGGCGGCCUUCUGGGCCGUUCCUGACGCUAAGGCGCGAAAGCAUAGGUAGCGAACGGGAUUAGAAACCCCGGUAGUCCAUGCCGUAAACGAUGCAAACUAGGUGUUGGUGGUGUAAAAGCCAUCAGUGCCGCAGCUAACGCGAUAAGUUUGCCGCCUGGGGAUUACGGCCGCAAGGUUAAACUCAAAGGAAUUGACGGGUUCCGCACAAUCAUCGGAUCGUGUGGUUUAAUUCGAUGCUACCCUAAAACCUUACCUGGGCUUGAAUAUAGGUGGUAGGAAUCGAAAAAGACGACCCUCGGGGAGCUAUAAGGUGCUGAUGGCUGUCGUCAACUCUGUCUGAAAGUC
RNAcentral lists this ribosomal RNA (1029 nucleotides) under uncultured Chloroflexota bacterium. RNAcentral's name for it is "bacterial SSU rRNA". It matches the Rfam family "Bacterial small subunit ribosomal RNA", at positions 37 to 1076 of the family's 1533-position model. The record is from RNAcentral. Lineage: Bacteria; Bacillati; Chloroflexota.